Molecule: ribosomal RNA, 2565 nt
Filed under: Nanobdellota archaeon
Lineage: Archaea; Nanobdellati; Nanobdellota
Description: partial 23S ribosomal RNA
Rfam family: Archaeal large subunit ribosomal RNA
Source: RNAcentral
AGGAAUAAGUGAUUAUUCUGCUAGAUGGAUGACUCAGUUCACGACGCCGAAGAAGGGCGUGGCAAGCUACGAUAUGCUUGGGGUAGGUGCACGCAGCCGUUGAACCCAAGAUACCUGAAUGCGACAUCGCAUUAGACCCGAAAGGGUGGGGAACUCAGGGAAUUGAAACAUCUUAGUACCUGAAGGAAAAGAAAUCAAUCGAGAUGCUGUGAGUAGCAGCGAGCGAAAGCAGUAGAAGGCAAACCGAAUACGCUCUCGAAAGAGAGUGCAAAUGUGGUGUGAUAAGACCUGUUUUUAACCUUCCUAAGGAGAACCAAAGUUUGUUGGAACACAGCGCGAUACAGGGUGAUAGCCCCGUAGGUUUUUCUUAGAUGGUGUACAGAGUUCUUGAGUAGGGCUCACUGGAUACUGGGCCUGAAUUUGGGAGGCAUCAACUUCCAACCUUAAAUACGUCGUGAAUCUGAUAGCGUACCAGUACUGUGAAGGAACGUUGAAAAGAACCCGUAACAGGGUGUGAAAAGAGCCUGAAACCUAGCAGAGAUCGAAAGCUACUGCCCUUCGGGGUUGUAGCGUCCGUUUUGAAUAACGGGCGAGGGAGUGCAUUUGUGUGGCGAAGAUAAGGCGGUAAAGCCGUAUCUGUAGGGAAACCGAUUGUCCGCAGUUUACGAGGGACAAAGUGCGAAAGUGCUUUAAGUCACAUGGGUGCUACCAGAAACUAAGUGAUCUAACCGUGUAGAGGAUGAAGCGAAGUUUUUAGCUUCGUGGAGGUCCGAAGCGGUCUUCCAUGCACGGAGUCGUGUCAUAUACGGUUAGGGGUGAAAAGCCAAUCGAACCUAGUUAUAGCUGGUUCCUGUCGAAAUAGGCCGCAGUCUAGUCUGUGUGGAGAUGGUCAGAGAGGUAGAGCGACGGAUUAGAAGGUUAGGGAGGGAAACCUCUCGCCUUCUUGUCCAACUCCGAAUGCUCUGAUAUCGUAGAAGCAUGGAAACGGGAGUACGGGGUAAGCUUGUAUUCCGUGAGGGGAACAACCCAGACUGUGAUUAAGGUCCCAAAGUUACCACUAAGUAUCAAAGGUUGAAAGGUGUAUGCCACCAAAGACAGCGGGGAGGUUUGCUUAGAAGCAGCAAUCCUUUAAAGAAAGCGUAACAGCUCACCCGUCAAGGUGUCAUGCCCUGAAAAUGGACGGGAUUAAGUGGUGCACCGAGAUCACAGACCACGUUCGUAAGAACGUGUGUGGUAGACAGGCGUGCUGGUAGAGUAGAAGCGUGUUCGUAAGUUCAUGUGGAUCUGCCAGUACUGAGAAUCCUCGUGUAAGUAGGAUCUAUAUGCAGUGAGAAUCUGCAAUGCCGCAAGCUCAAGGGUUCCUUAGCAAUGUCGAUCAGCUAAGGGUUAGUCAGUCCUAACCGCGUUCCUAACUGGAAUGGUGGGAAGGGGAAAAAGGUUAAUAGUCCUUUACUAUGCAAUAACGCGUGGCAACACUAGCUUUGAUGGAGAUACAUCGGGCUAAGCCGACAUUCACUGUCGUGAGUGUCAAUCAACGCACAUCUGGGGAGUAUCGUAAUGAUGAGAUCCAGAUGAAUAUUGAGACGAGCAGGUGUAUGCCUGUUCGGUUGAUGCCUGGUGUUCGUAAAAAUCCAUAAUAGAAGAAGUUGCAUAACUGUACCAAGAACCAGCACUGGUGUAGCUGGGUGAGAAGCCCGAGGCAUGAGGGUUUAAACUUGUUUAGGGAAAUCGACAAAUUAGCCCCGUAUCUUCGGUAUGAGGGGUCCCUGCGAUCGUGCUCGUAAGAGUGGCGAUAACAGGGUGCAAUGACUAGGCGAGUCCGUCUGUUUAACAAAAACACCGCUUCGUGCUACCCUGUAAAGGUGUGUAUACGAAGCCAUGUCUGCCCAGUGCUAGUAUCCGAAACUCCUUUCCAAGGGAGCUAAGGACUAGUAAACGGCGGGAAUAACUAUAAUUCUCUUAAGGUAGCGAAAUACCUUGUCGUUUGAAUGACGACGCGCAUGAAAGGCAUAACGAGACUUGCAUUGUCCCGAACGAGUGUCCCCUGAAUUUGCUAUGCUGGUGUGAAGGCCAGCGAUUCCUAGUGGGAAGCGAAGACCCCGUAGAACUUUACUGUAACUUGUCGUUGUGGUGUAAAGUCUGGUAUGUAGCGUAGGUGGAAGAGGUUCGAAGCGUGAUCGUCAGGUUACGUGUACUCGUCAAUGAAACACCACUUUCCGGAUCUUUACAUUGCUUACCGGCGUAAGCCGGGACACCGAUUGGCGGACAGUUUGGCUGGGGCGGCACCCUGCUGAAAAUGUAUCAGUAGGGCCCUAUGGUCAGCUCAGGAGGUUUAGAAAUCCUUCGUUGAGUGCAAAAGCAAAAGCUGGCCUGACUGGUUUACUAACACUAUGGAAACCAGAGACGAAAGUCGGGUUUAGCGAACACCUAGAUUUCCUUGAUGGGAGCUAGGUACGACAGAAAAGCUAUCUCGGGGAUAAUUGAGUCGUAGCGCCUAAGAGCUCAAAUCGACGGCGCUGCUUGCUACUUCGAUGUCGGCUCAUCGCAUCCUGGCUGUGCAGAAGC